Molecule: ribosomal RNA, 400 nt
Filed under: uncultured bacterium
Lineage: Bacteria
Description: bacterial SSU rRNA
Rfam family: Bacterial small subunit ribosomal RNA
Source: RNAcentral
UUGGGAAUUUUGGACAAUGGGCGCAAGCCUGAUCCAGCCACGCCGCGUGAAUGAUGAAGGCCUUCGGGUCGUAAAGUUCUUUUGUUGGGGACAAACACAAUGAUGGUACCCAAAGAAAAAGCACCGGCUAACUCCGUGCCAGCAGCCGCGGUAAUACGGAGGGUGCAAGCGUUGCUCGGAAUUAUUGGGCGUAAAGCGUAUGUAGGCGGUUUUCUAAGUCUGAUGUGAAAUCCCGGGGCUUAACCCCGGAACUGCAUUGGAUACUGGAAGGCUGGAGAGUGAUAGGGGAUGGCGGAAUUCCUGGUGUAGGGGUGAAAUCCGUAGAUAUCAGGAGGAACAUCAGUGGCGAAGGCGGCCAUCUGGAUCACAUCUGACGCUGAGAUACGAAAGCGUGGGGAGC